Molecule: long non-coding RNA, 1416 nt
Filed under: Numida meleagris (helmeted guineafowl)
Lineage: Eukaryota; Metazoa; Chordata; Aves; Galliformes; Numididae
Description: lncRNA (ENSNMEG00000002570.1)
Source: RNAcentral
GUGGCAGCAGGGUGACAAUUGGGAACUGUGGGGUGGCAUGGGGUAAGGUGACACCAGGGUGACACCAGGGUGACAGCGGGUGACAACAAGACAGGAUAAGUUGACACUGGGGUGACAGUGGGAUGGGGCAGGGUGACACAGGGUGACAGUGGGGUGACAAGAAGGGAUGGGGUGGCGGCAGGGUGACAAUUGGGAACUGUGGGGUGACACGGGGUAAGGUGACACCAGGGUGACACUGGGUGACAGCAAGACAGGACAGGGUGACACCGGGGUGACAGUGGGAUGGGGCAGGGUGACACUGGGGUGACAGCAGGGUGACAAGAAGGGAUGGGGUGACGGCAGGGUGACAAUUGGGAACCGUGGGGUGACACUGGGUGAUAGCGGACGGGACAGGGUGACACCGGGGUGACAUCAGGGUGACGCCGGGGUGACAGCGAGGGUGGGACGGGGUUGUCCCUGGGCCAGGACGGGGUGACACCGGGACGGGACCGGGUGGGGGAGGGGACGGGGACGCGGUGUCACCCUGAUCCCGGUGACCCCCAGGAGCGGGCGGUUCCUGGUGAGCGGGGACAGCGGUGGCUUUGUCACCGUUUGGGACACGCUGCGGCCACCGGAGCCCGGGGACCCCCCCCUGCUGCCCCACACCCUGCGCUUCCACGCCCUGAGGGACUGCGUCAACGGCACCAGGUGCGGCUGUCACCUCUGUGUCACUGUCACCCCUGUGUCACUGUCACCCGCGUCAUGUCACCCAUGUCAUGUCACCUGCAUCACUGUCACCUCUGUGUCACUGUCACCUGCAUCAUGUCACCUCUGUGUCACUGUCACCUCUGUGUCACUGUCACCUCUGCGUCACUGUCACCUCUGCGUCACUGUCACCUGCAUCAUGUCACCUCUGUGUCGCUGUCACCUCUGUGUCACUGUCACCUCUGUGUCACUGUCACCUCUGUGUCACUGUCACCUGCGUCACUGUCACCUCUGUGUCACUGUCACCUCUGUGUCACUGUCACCCGCGUCACUGUCACCCGCGUCACUGUCACCCGCGUCACUGUCACCUCUGUGUCACUGUCACCUCUGUGUCACUGUCACCUCUGUGUCACUGUCACCUGCAUCAUGUCACCUCUGUGUCACUGUCAUUCACGUCAUGUCACCUCUGUGUCACUGUCACCCGCAUCAUGUCACCUGCAUCAUGACACCUCUGUGUCACUGUCACCCGCGUCACUGUCACCUCUGUGUCAUGUCACCUCUGUGUCACUGUCACCUCUGUGUCACUGUCACCUGCAUCACGUCACCUCUGUGUCACUGUCACCUCUGUCACUGUCACCCGUGUCGUGUCACCUGCGUUGUGUCACCUCUGUGUCACUGUCAUUCACAUUAUGUCACCUCUGUGUCGCUGUCAUCUCUGUGUCACUGUCACCC